CCAAAGUGGCAUGAAACAAUAAUGCAGAUCGAGCGAACAGAAGGGAGCUUGCUCCCGGAUGUUAGCGGCGGACGGGUGAGUAACACGUGGGUAACCUGCCUGUAAGACUGGGAUAACUCCGGGAAACCGGAGCUAAUACCGGAUAGUUCCUUGAACCGCAUGGUUCAAGGAUGAAAGACGGUUUCGGCUGUCACUUACAGAUGGACCCGCGGCGCAUUAGCUAGUUGGUGGGGUAAUGGCUCACCAAGGCGACGAUGCGUAGCCGACCUGAGAGGGUGAUCGGCCACACUGGGACUGAGACACGGCCCAGACUCCUACGGGAGGCAGCAGUAGGGAAUCUUCCGCAAUGGACGAAAGUCUGACGGAGCAACGCCGCGUGAGUGAUGAAGGUUUUCGGAUCGUAAAGCUCUGUUGUUAGGGAAGAACAAGUGCGAGAGUAACUGCUCGCACCUUGACGGUACCUAACCAGAAAGCCACGGCUAACUACGUGCCAGCAGCCGCGGUAAUACGUAGGUGGCAAGCGUUGUCCGGAAUUAUUGGGCGUAAAGGGCUCGCAGGCGGUUUCUUAAGUCUGAUGUGAAAGCCCCCGGCUCAACCGGGGAGGGUCAUUGGAAACUGGGAAACUUGAGUGCAGAAGAGGAGAGUGGAAUUCCACGUGUAGCGGUGAAAUGCGUAGAGAUGUGGAGGAACACCAGUGGCGAAGGCGACUCUCUGGUCUGUAACUGACGCUGAGGAGCGAAAGCGUGGGGAGCGAACAGGAUUAGAUACCCUGGUAGUCCACGCCGUAAACGAUGAGUGCUAAGUGUUAGGGGGUUUCCGCCCCUUAGUGCUGCAGCUAACGCAUUAAGCACUCCGCCUGGGGAGUACGGUCGCAAGACUGAAACUCAAAGGAAUUGACGGGGGCCCGCACAAGCGGUGGAGCAUGUGGUUUAAUUCGAAGCAACGCGAAGAACCUUACCAGGUCUUGACAUCCUCUGACAACCCUAGAGAUAGGGCUUUCCCUUCGGGGACAGAGUGACAGGUGGUGCAUGGUUGUCGUCAGCUCGUGUCGUGAGAUGUUGGGUUAAGUCCCGCAACGAGCGCAACCCUUUGAUCUUAGUUGCCAGCAUUUAGUUGGGCACUCUAAGGUGACUGCCGGUGACAAACCCGGAGAAAGGUGGGGGAUGACGUCAAAUCAUCAUGGCCCUUAAUGACCUGGGGCUACCCACGUUGCUACAAUGGGAAAGACCAAAGGGCUUGCAAGAACCCCAAGGUUUAACCCAAUCCCAUAAAAUCUGUUCUCAAGUUCGGGAUCCGAAGUCUCGCAACCCCAACUGGCGGGAGACUGGGAAUCUCUGAUAAAUACCCGGGAAUAACAAUGGCCCGGGGGGAAAAACUUUUCUGGGGCCUUUGUACACACGCCCCGGUGACACCCCAGAGGAUGUGUACCCCCGGAAACCUGGGAGAGGGAACCUUUUUGAGACCCCCCCCACAUGGGGGGCGAAUAUAGGGGUGUGGGGGUUUUUGUUCAAAAGGGUCCAGAGAAAACAGAGUUUUAGUUGUUUAGGGU
This 1549-nucleotide ribosomal RNA is filed under the name Bacillus sp. X16. Its description in RNAcentral is "partial 16S ribosomal RNA". It matches the Rfam family "Bacterial small subunit ribosomal RNA". Lineage: Bacteria; Bacillati; Bacillota; Bacilli; Caryophanales; Bacillaceae. The record is from RNAcentral.